Molecule: ribosomal RNA, 253 nt
Filed under: uncultured bacterium
Lineage: Bacteria
Description: partial 16S ribosomal RNA
Rfam family: Bacterial small subunit ribosomal RNA
Source: RNAcentral
UACGGAGGGUGCAAGCGUUAUCCGGAUUCACUGGGUUUAAAGGGUGCGUAGGUGGGCAGGUAAGUCAGUGGUGAAAUCCCCGAGCUUAACUUGGGAACUGCCGUUGAUACUAUCUGUCUUGAAUAUCGUGGAGGUAAGCGGAAUAUGUCAUGUAGCGGUGAAAUGCAUAGAGAUGACAUAGAACACCAAUUGCGAAGGCAGCUUGCUACACGGUAAUUGACACUGAGGCACGAAAGCGUGGGGAGCAAACAGG